Non-coding RNA from Triticum aestivum (bread wheat), 135 nucleotides. The record is from Rfam. Lineage: Eukaryota; Viridiplantae; Streptophyta; Magnoliopsida; Poales; Poaceae.
AUUGUACUCCCUCCGUCCCAAAAUUCUUGUCUUAGAUUUGUCUAAAUACGGAUGUAUCUAAUACUAAAACGUGACUUGAUACAUCUGUAUCUAGACAAAUGUAAGACAAGAAUUUUGGGACUAAGGGAGUAUUAU